Molecule: ribosomal RNA, 249 nt
Filed under: Triticum aestivum (bread wheat)
Lineage: Eukaryota; Viridiplantae; Streptophyta; Magnoliopsida; Poales; Poaceae
Description: partial small subunit ribosomal RNA
Source: RNAcentral
AUGGCGGACAGGGUGAAGAAGCUGGCGUCGCAGCGUGCGGUGGUGAUCUUCGGGGUGAGCAACCGCUUCAUGUGCCACACGGUGAAGACGCUCUUCACGGAGCUGGGCGUGAGCUGGGCGGUGCACAAGCUGGCAAAGGACCCCUGGGGGAAGGACGUGGAGAGGGCGCUUGCUGGCAUGGUCAUGACACUGCACCUUGGCGGCCAACUCGUGCCGCUCCUCAGCCAGGCUGGUGCCCUCUUGCUCUGA